RNAcentral lists this transfer RNA (72 nucleotides) under Bos taurus (domestic cattle). It matches the Rfam family "tRNA". From Rfam's summary of the family: Transfer RNA (tRNA) molecules are approximately 80 nucleotides in length. Their secondary structure includes four short double-helical elements and three loops (D, anti-codon, and T loops). Further hydrogen bonds mediate the characteristic L-shaped molecular structure. tRNAs have two regions of fundamental functional importance: the anti-codon, which is responsible for specific mRNA codon recognition, and the 3' end, to which the tRNAs corresponding amino acid is attached (by aminoacyl-tRNA synthetases). tRNAs cope with the degeneracy of the genetic code in two manners: having more than one tRNA (with a specific anti-codon) for a particular amino acid; and 'wobble' base-pairing, i.e. permitting non-standard base-pairing at the 3rd anti-codon position. The record is from Rfam by way of RNAcentral. RNAcentral also lists the same sequence under 5 other names. Lineage: Eukaryota; Metazoa; Chordata; Mammalia; Artiodactyla; Bovidae.
UCCUUGGUGGUCCAGUGUGUAAGACUCUAAGCUCCCAAUCCAGUGGGCCCAGGUUCAACCCUGGUCAGGGAA